CAGUUGGUAGAGCACGACCUUGCCAAGGUCGGGGUCGCGAGUUCGAGUCUCGUUUCCCGCUCCA
Molecule: transfer RNA, 64 nt
Filed under: Escherichia coli 96.0939
Lineage: Bacteria; Pseudomonadati; Pseudomonadota; Gammaproteobacteria; Enterobacterales; Enterobacteriaceae
Also listed under: 2 other names
Description: partial tRNA-Gly
Rfam family: tRNA
About the family: Transfer RNA (tRNA) molecules are approximately 80 nucleotides in length. Their secondary structure includes four short double-helical elements and three loops (D, anti-codon, and T loops). Further hydrogen bonds mediate the characteristic L-shaped molecular structure. tRNAs have two regions of fundamental functional importance: the anti-codon, which is responsible for specific mRNA codon recognition, and the 3' end, to which the tRNAs corresponding amino acid is attached (by aminoacyl-tRNA synthetases). tRNAs cope with the degeneracy of the genetic code in two manners: having more than one tRNA (with a specific anti-codon) for a particular amino acid; and 'wobble' base-pairing, i.e. permitting non-standard base-pairing at the 3rd anti-codon position.
Source: RNAcentral